RNAcentral lists this transfer RNA (59 nucleotides) under Rhinebothrium reydai. RNAcentral describes it as "tRNA-Ser". The record is from RNAcentral. Lineage: Eukaryota; Metazoa; Platyhelminthes; Cestoda; Rhinebothriidea; Rhinebothriidae.
GAGGAAAUUAAGGGGUUACUGCUAAUAAUCUCUCGUCAUUUAGUUUUGACUUUCUCUUA